GCGAGAAUAGCUCAGUGGUAGAGCACGACCUUGCCAAGGUCGGGGUCGCGGGUUCGAAUCCCGUUUCUCGCU
This 72-nucleotide transfer RNA is filed under the name Alteromonas macleodii. RNAcentral's name for it is "tRNA-Gly". It matches the Rfam family "tRNA". From Rfam's summary of the family: Transfer RNA (tRNA) molecules are approximately 80 nucleotides in length. Their secondary structure includes four short double-helical elements and three loops (D, anti-codon, and T loops). Further hydrogen bonds mediate the characteristic L-shaped molecular structure. tRNAs have two regions of fundamental functional importance: the anti-codon, which is responsible for specific mRNA codon recognition, and the 3' end, to which the tRNAs corresponding amino acid is attached (by aminoacyl-tRNA synthetases). tRNAs cope with the degeneracy of the genetic code in two manners: having more than one tRNA (with a specific anti-codon) for a particular amino acid; and 'wobble' base-pairing, i.e. permitting non-standard base-pairing at the 3rd anti-codon position. RNAcentral also lists the same sequence under 4 other names. Lineage: Bacteria; Pseudomonadati; Pseudomonadota; Gammaproteobacteria; Alteromonadales; Alteromonadaceae. The record is from RNAcentral.